Long non-coding RNA from Sinocyclocheilus anshuiensis, 3827 nucleotides. The record is from Ensembl. NCBI's taxonomy places the organism in Eukaryota, Metazoa, Chordata, Actinopteri, Cypriniformes, Cyprinidae.
AUGAAACAUCUGAACGUGAAGCUGAAAAGAACACCAGUGUCGUCACAUGUGAUGCUACCGGCUCAUGAGUGUGAGACUCCGCCAAACCACCCUACACUGACCAGAUCUGGACUGCAGAAGAGUCACAUAGCUGGAGGGCUUUCUACGGUGAAGGGGGCAGGACUCGUGCCGCACACAUAUACACAAACACGUGUUCCUGUCCGUUCAAAGGUGAGUAUUCUCAGGGCAAGGGUUACUUACUUCAACACACACAUACACACCCAUCCAUGUUGGCGACGGUUUAUCAGGGAAAGUGGAGCUCUCCUCUCCUGCGGAGCUCAUCUGUUCCUGUGCCACCCUGCAAACCCCCUGUAGACAUUAGUGGGCUUUCCACACUCCCCACCCAAGGGGCAGGUGGAACACACACAUUCGCACUAACCAAACACCUCCUACUGAGUGGCAUUGAAUAGGACAGCUGCCCAGGAGGUUAGGGCCAACUGCUUUAUGUGUAAUGCAGCCACCAUCAAAGCCAGUUGUUUUGAAGAGACAGGAUGUGAGGCAGGAUGUCCAGAUUAAAUAACAGACCUAUUAAUGUCAACCUGACAACAGCGCAAGAGAGGAGAAAACUCUUCAGAACUUUAGCUGUCAUAAUUCGAUACACCAACGGAACAAUGCUUUUUGAUUUCAGAUAAAAUAAUCCUGAAGUCAUGCGGAUCUGUGAAGAAUUCAUUGGCUUUUUAUGCACAGUCAUAUAUAUACAAUAUCAGUGUUCCUGUGCGGCGUGUGUUCACAGGGUGUAUGGUGUGGGAACGGAGAUAGGGGAGAUCCCUGUGUUGUUCACGGCCCGGGCGGGCGGGUUGUCAGGGACGGGCCCGGGUGAUGAAGCCUGUGAGGAGUUUGCAGAGCUGUUCCACUCAACAAUGGUAAGAAUCGUCAGAUCUUUGCCAUCAGAACAGACUUUGCGAUCCGAGAGAUUCUUCAGGAAUUCUUACCCGUCUUUCUAUCUCAUAUCUGUGUCGUGGAUCACCUCUGGACAUUUUCCCAAACCCUUUCUGGAAUUUAUUUUCAGUGCUAUAAGAAAAACAAUGAUGAAGACACACACUGAGAAAGUCUUUGUGAUACCUUCAGCAAGCACAUAUAGUGGAGCAGAUGGUGGCCCUCAUUGGAGCUUUUCCCCUGUUUGGCGCCUCUCUGCAGAAGCCUUUCAGGGAGUACCUUGAGGCCCAGAGGGCAAAAUUACAACACCGGGCAGCGCGCAGAAGAGGCCACCCCAAUCGUAAGUCCCAUCACUCAUCUCUUUCGUUCAACCUUUAAAUUUGCCUCAAUCCCAGACGUGGCUUUUGUAUUUUUGUAUAUUUUUCCUCCAUUCCUCCUUUUAAUUUAUUACGCGCACCCCUAUUUCUUUUUUGUUCCACAUCCUAAUUACCUCCCUGCCCUAAUUAUCGCUUCGAGACUGGUUUUAUUCUACCGUGUGAUUCUGUUGAGGUGUUAUUGUUUGCAUGUGGUAGACCAUAGUGUCAGGGGCUCCGCGUGGGCCGUGCGGUGGUUGGUUGCGGGGGCCUGUUCAGGGUCUGGCUGAGGAGAGAUGCUGAGUCAUACUCCGAGCUCUUUGAGUGAACCGGACACUCCCCCGCGUCACACUAAACCCCCCGAACCCUGUUGAACCAGCGCAGGCUGCCGGAGACGGGAGGGGCCCCUGGGAGUAAAAGAAGAAGGAGGAGGGUUGGGGGACGUUGGGAAGGGAAGCAGGAGGAGGGGAGAGGUUGAGGCUGUACUCUCGAUUCCUGCCACCGCUGUUCCCUCACAAGUGCGCACGGAAACAAAGAGCUACACCUUUUUUUUUUUUUACCUUCGUCUGCCCGUGUGCAAAUCAUCUAAAGUGUGUUUCAUCUAAAGCGCUUUUCCAGCUCGUGUGCAUGCGUGCGUACGUGUGGGAGGAGGAAAUGAAAGAGAGAGAUAGAGAGAAAGAAAGAGAUGAAGUUGCACAAUGAGAGAUUACGGAUGUUUCUGGAACAAUGUUCCUUUUUUCUGGUAACUUGAACCUCCUGCGGUUACUUAAGGAAAGCUGCGGGCUUGUUCAACCGGUAGGAAGUAACGAUGCCACCGUGCGCGUGUCACUAACGUAAAUCUUGUUUUAAAGAUACAGGGAGAGAUUGGAGGGAAAUGCAUGUGGAGUUGAGUGAUUGCUUAACCUGAGAUGUUUCUGACGAGUUAAUGCAUUGAUGAUUAAGCAUAAUUGACUGUCUUUUUCUCCUUACAGGUUUUAGAAGAUGGUGAUCAGCAUGGUUUGUUGCAUCAUAAACUUAUGGCUUCCAACAAAUGUAAAGCAAAACUAAAUCAAGAAACCGAUUUUAACCUAAAAUCGAAUAGCUUCCUCAAUCUCAUGAGAGCUGCUGUUAGAAUAAUAGGUUUAUUUUUCUCAAUUUUCUUUGAGGGUUCUUUUGUAACAUGGCUAUCGGUUAACAUUUUUACUUUUUAAUGUGCUUGCUUAGCUUGGUGGUUUGUGCUGAGAUACUCAUGUUCUCAGCUCUGUCUUGCACAGGUUAACUGAUCCCAUUGAUUGAGAUGUUAAGGUGCACUGUGGCUUAUGUUGCGUGUGGUCUAUUACAUUUAAGGGACAGACUGCAUUAAUUUAGUUUUCAAAUGCGUUGUUAGUCACUUUAUGUGCUUUGAAAUUCAGCAUAUAACCAAUUCACAGCGCUCAUAUCAUUUUUUUAGAAUUUGAAUUCUUUCAAGUUUCAGAAUUUGAAUUUAGGUAGCUAUAAAAGGAAGUUAAUGUAAGGAAACGCUGACUCUAAAGUCGCUAUAAGAUGUUAUGCAUAUUGACUAGUGCUUGCGUUACAUUACUACUUCUGAGGAAAGCUCGUCUUGCGCUCUAAAAGCUUGGUGAAUCAUAAUGUUCCUUUCGUCUAGAGAUAUUGUUUUGUUUCCCGAGAUCCAAAGAGGAGAGGGAGAGGGAGAAGGAGAGAGCGAGUGAGUGUGUGUGUGUGUGUGUGUGUGUGUGUAACCACAUGACUCACUACAGGGCCACUCCACCAGAUGCAAUAACGCAUUCAAUCAGAUUAUGAAGCGCGUGUGUUCGGGCACAUAUGUGCGUGGGCGGCUGCCACAUUUCGCGCGUAGCUCCUUAACGCUCAUAUUCUAUACAUCGGAAGAGCAUCCGGUCAUGCUGGAGGAUGCCCGCUGCUAGAUUGGAUUUGACUAACAGAUUGUCUGUCAAUUUGAAAGGUUAGUGUCUUGCCUCUUUUACAGUGUCGAGUAGUUUCAGUUUAAAACGCUGAAGCAUUUUUAGACGCUAGCGCCGUGGUGGUCCCCCAAAACGGCACAUUUUGUACGUCUCCUUAGUCUAGUACACUUGAUUCAACUCAUUAGAGGCUCCGUGUCCUGAAAUGGGUGUGUCAGAUCUAAAAUGUAGAGUGUCGGGGGCCACCGGGACCAGAUUGAGAACCACUACGUUACACUGGUGGCAUAACAAAAGGCAGCUAACGUCUUGUCCGUCGCUUCUUUUCGCGUCUUUUUUUCUUUUAAUUGCUUGUGAAAUUAUUUUUCGGUGCCUUUUUGUAACGCUGCCCUUGUAUGUGAUUCUGGAAGCUGCAGGCGUAUAAAAAAACGGAACCGUGUGGAUUUUCUUUUGCCGUUACCUUAAACGAACCCUCCGCUGAACUCAAUGCACUCGCUGCUGGCGUAGAGGAUGAGAGGCAGCAGUGUUGCCAGAUCUCGUGAAGAAAGCAGGCCAAUGGAAACGCUGGAAUUUAUUGAUCAGCAUGAAACAUUUAGAUUACGGAGAUUUAAAAUAUAUAAAAUUAAAUUAAAAUAAACCGAUUUUAUGACAUUAAUGACUAAUUAAC